Molecule: ribosomal RNA, 468 nt
Filed under: uncultured bacterium
Lineage: Bacteria
Description: partial 16S ribosomal RNA
Rfam family: Bacterial small subunit ribosomal RNA
Source: RNAcentral
GACGAACGCUGGCGGCGUGCUUAACACAUGCAAGUCGAACGGAAAGGCCCUGCUUUUGUGGGGUGCUCGAGUGGCGAACGGGUGAGUAACACGUGAGUAACCUGCCCUUGACUUUGGGAUAACUUCAGGAAACUGGGGCUAAUACCGGAUAGGAGCUCCUGCUGCAUGGUGGGGGUUGGAAAGUUUCGGCGGUUGGGGAUGGACUCGCGGCUUAUCAGCUUGUUGGUGGGGUAGUGGCUUACCAAGGCUUUGACGGGUAGCCGGCCUGAGAGGGUGACCGGCCACAUUGGGAAUGAGAUACGGCCCAGACUCCUACGGGAGGGAGCAGUGGGGAAUAUUGCACAAUGGGCGGAAGCCUGAUGCAGCAACGCCGCGUGCGGGAUGACGGCCUUCGGGUUGUAAACCGCUUUCGCCUGUGACGAAGCGUGAGUGACGGUAAUGGGUAAAGAAGCACCGGCUAACUACGUG